AUUGAACGCUGGCGGCAUGCCUUACACAUGCAAGUCGAACGGCAGCACGGGAGCAAUCCUGGUGGCGAGUGGCGAACGGGUGAGUAAUAUAUCGGAACGUGCCCAGUCGUGGGGGAUAACGUAGCGAAAGCUACGCUAAUACCGCAUACGAUCUAUGGAUGAAAGCGGGGGAUCGCAAGACCUCGCGCGAUUGGAGCGGCCGAUACCAGAUUAGGUAGUUGGUGAGGUAUAGGCUCACCAAGCCGACGAUCUGUAGCUGGUCUGAGAGGACGACCAGCCACACUGGGACUGAGACACGGCCCAGACUCCUACGGGAGGCAGCAGUGGGGAAUUUUGGACAAUGGGCGCAAGCCUGAUCCAGCAAUGCCGCGUGCAGGAUGAAGGCCUUCGGGUUGUAAACUGCUUUUGUACGGAACGAAACGGCGAGCUCUAAUACAGUUUGCUAACGACGGUACCGUAAGAAUAAGCACCGGCUAACUACGUGCCAGCCGCCGCAGUAA
Molecule: ribosomal RNA, 500 nt
Filed under: uncultured bacterium
Lineage: Bacteria
Description: partial 16S ribosomal RNA
Rfam family: Bacterial small subunit ribosomal RNA
Source: RNAcentral